RNAcentral lists this ribosomal RNA (738 nucleotides) under marine sponge bacterium PLATEactino+(1)-05. Its description in RNAcentral is "bacterial SSU rRNA". It matches the Rfam family "Bacterial small subunit ribosomal RNA", at positions 56 to 841 of the family's 1533-position model. The record is from RNAcentral.
UGCAAGUCGAGCGCACCCUUCGGGGUGAGCGGCGGACGGGUUAGUAACGCGUGGGAACAUACCCUUUGGUACGGAAUAGCCUCUGGAAACGGAGAGUAAUACCGUAUGAGCCCUUCGGGGGAAAGAUUUAUCGCCAAAGGAUUGGCCCGCGUUAGAUUANGUAGUUGGUGGGGUAAUGGCCUACCAAGCCUACGAUCUAUAGCUGGUUUUAGAGGAUGAUCAGCAACACUGGGACUGANACACGGCCCAGACUCCUACGGGAGGCAGCAGUGGGGAAUCUUGGACAAUGGGGGCAACCCUGAUCCAGCCAUGCCGCGNGAGUGAUGAAGGCCCUAGGGUCGUAAAGCUCUUUCGCCUGUGAAGAUAAUGACGGUAGCAGGUAAAGAAACCCCGGCUAACUCCGUGCCAGCAGCCGCGGUAAUACGGAGGGGGUUAGCGUUGUUCGGAAUUACUGGGCGUAAAGCGCACGUAGGCGGAUCGGAAAGUAUGGGGUGAAAUCCCAGGGCUCAACCCUGGAACUGCCUCAUAAACUAUCGGUCUAGAGUUCGAGAGAGGUGAGUGGAAUUCCNAGUGUAGAGGUGAAAUUCGUAGAUAUUCGGAGGAACACCAGUGGNNAANGCGGCUCACUGGCUCGAUACUGACGCUGAGGUGCGAAAGUGUGGGGAGCAAACAGGAUUAGAUACCCUGGUAGUCCACACCGUAAACNAUGAAUGCCANUCGUCGGGUANCAUGCUAUUC